ACCUGGUUGAUCCUGCCAGUAGUCAUAUGCUUGUCUCAAAGAUUAAGCCAUGCAUGUCUAAGUAUAAGCGACUAUACUGUGAAACUGCGAAUGGCUCAUUAAAUCAGUUAUGGUUUAUUUGAUGGUACCUACUACUUGGAUAACCGUAGUAAUUCUAGAGCUAAUACAUGCAGGAAGACCCGACUUCGGAAGGGUUGUAUUUAUUAGAUAAGAAACCAAUCCAGCUUGCUGUUGCGUGCCGAGUCACAAUAACUGCUCGAAUCGCAUGGGUUUACCCCGGCGAUGGUUCAUUCAAAUUUCUGCCCUAUCAGCUUUCGAUGGUAGGAUCGAGGCCUACCAUGGCGUUUACGGGUAACGGAGAAUUAGGGUUCGAUUCCGGAGAGGGAGCCUGAGAGAUGGCUACCACAUCCAAGGAAGGCAGCAGGCGCGUAAAUUGCCCGAAUCCUGACACAGGGAGGUAGUGACAAGAAAUAACAAUACAGGGCUACAUCUAGUCUUGUAAUUGGAAUGAAUACAAUUUACAUCUCUUACUGAGGAUCAAUUGGAGGGCAAGUCUGGUG
Molecule: ribosomal RNA, 560 nt
Filed under: uncultured eukaryote
Lineage: Eukaryota
Description: SSU rRNA
Rfam family: Eukaryotic small subunit ribosomal RNA
Source: RNAcentral